UACAGAGGUCUCAAGCGUUGUUCGGAUUCAUUGGGCGUAAAGGGUGCGUAGGCGGCAUUGUAAGUCGGAUGUGAAAUCUUGGGGCUCAACCCCAAAACUGCAUUCGAUACUGCAGUGCUUGAAGACUGAAGAGGAGAUUGGAAUUCACGGUGUAGCAGUGAAAUGCGUAGAUAUCGUGAGGAAGACCAGUGGCGAAAGCGAAUCUCUGGGCAGAUCUUGACGCUGAUGCACGAAGGCCAGGGGAGCAAACGGG
Molecule: ribosomal RNA, 253 nt
Filed under: uncultured bacterium
Lineage: Bacteria
Description: partial 16S ribosomal RNA
Rfam family: Bacterial small subunit ribosomal RNA
Source: RNAcentral